GACGAACGCUGGCGGCGUGCUUAACACAUGCAAGUCGAACGGUGAAGCGCCUUCCUUUUUGGUGGGUGUGGAUGAGUGGCGAACGGGUGAGUAACACGUGAGUAACCUGCCCCCUUCUUCUGGAUAACCGCAUGAAAGUGUGGCUAAUACGGGAUAUUCUGGGUCUGUCGCAUGAUGGGUCUGGGAAAGAUAUUGUUUCGGUGGGGGAUGGGCUCGCGGCCUAUCAGCUUGUUGGUGGGGUGAUGGCCUACCAAGGCGGUGACGGGUAGCCGGCCUGAGAGGGUGGACGGUCACACUGGGACUGAGACACGGCCGAGACUCCUACGGGAGGCAGCAGUGGGGAAUAUGGCACAAUGGGCGCAAGCCUGAUGCAGCGACGCCGCGUGAGGGAUGGAGGCCUUCGGGUUGUGAACCUCUUUCGCCAGUGAAGCAGGCCUGCCUCGUUUGUGGGUGGGUUGACGGUAGCUGGAUAAGAAGCGCCGGCUAACUACGUG
RNAcentral lists this ribosomal RNA (494 nucleotides) under uncultured bacterium. RNAcentral's name for it is "partial 16S ribosomal RNA". It matches the Rfam family "Bacterial small subunit ribosomal RNA", at positions 28 to 507 of the family's 1533-position model. The record is from RNAcentral.